Long non-coding RNA from Vespula pensylvanica (western yellowjacket), 2015 nucleotides. RefSeq lists it as uncharacterized. The record is from RefSeq and is a predicted model, not a curated record. The transcript is spliced from 2 exons. Lineage: Eukaryota; Metazoa; Arthropoda; Insecta; Hymenoptera; Vespidae.
ACGUUCCGCUGUUCUCUGCUGCUGCUGCUUGCGAAGCACAGAAAAGUAUUUUUGGAGUCGCACCACAGCUCGUCACUCGAACGAACGAACGAACGAACUUACCAUCCACGAAGUCGAAAUUAUUGACCUCUUUACAGGAGCAUCUGCGGCCCGGCAGUUGGGUCCAACUGCGAAACGCAACUACUAUCAGGCAAAACGGCUGUUAAGUAGAGCGUGUAAUUUCCUCGUAAAAGGACACGAAGAGAGACAACGACAACGACAACGACAACGACAACGACAACGACAACGACAACGACAAUAACAACGACAACGAUAAUGAUGACGAUGAAGAUUCAAGCGACGUGAUCACGUUCUACUUUAUUUCGAGAUCGUUUCGAGAGUUGGAUCGUUUCUAUUGCUUUACGAAGAACUAUAAAACACUUCGUAAUAACGAAAGAAGAAAAAAAAAAGAAAAAGAGAAAGAGAAAAAAGAAAAAAGAGGGGAGGAGGUGGAAGAGGAGAAGGAAAAAAGAAGUGGACGAAGAAACGUUUCAAGGUUUCAUCUAAAGAACCAAGAUCUAUUUUCUCUUAAUAUGGCCAAUUCCGCGUGAACUCGUCCGACCUCAAACGACCGACUUCGAUAACCGCGAAUGUCGUUCAUCCGAACGGUGCCUCUCCACGUGGUCGCAUAAGGUGUCUGGGUUGAACGAUCCUACCCAAGCGAUAUAUACACUCGACGUAUUCGAGCCAACGAUCCACCGAGAGAGAACCUUGGAUAGUACGGAAAAACAAUAGCCAGACUCGAGGAACUCGAUCCAUCGAUCGAGAAAAAGUACCCCGGUUGGUUACUCGUUUGACUUCGUCUAUAGCUAGAAAAGUAAUCGACCGAUCCGAUCUACAUCUAUUUUCUAUAAUAGAUAAUCAAAAAUGAAUAAUCUUAAAGACGAAGAAAAUGUGAUCGACAAAAAUAUAUUACAUAUAUAUUUUUGUCAAUAUAAUCAAUAAUUUAAAAUAGAAACGAAUUCAACCCUCUAUCAUCAAUCUAUUAUCUCUAGGAUUUAUUAUCUAUAGGAUUUUCUUAUUUUCUAAUUAAAAAGACAGUAAGUCGUGUAUAAUGUAAGUUUCGAAAGUAAAAUUGGAUGAUAAGGACGUUACGUUACCGAAACGUAUAUCCACUCCAGCAAAAAGAGGAUCCACGAGGAGAUCGAAUCUCGUCGUAAUAGCGAGAAUACACGAAGGAAAAUAACCGUCGAUGCAUUCGAUCUUCUUAAAACAGUAGUCCCGAUGACGAUGAUGAUGACGACGACAAAGACGACGACGACGACGACGACGACGACGACAAAGACGACGAUGUUGAUGAUAACGACGAUAACGACGAAGAGGACGACGAUGAUGACGACAACAAGGAUGAGCUAGCAACAGGAAAGAGAAGGGCGUCCUCAAGAAGCAGCUUACAGCAACACGAGUAUCAGCGUUGCUAGCUACGAUGGUUGCUUCUUUCCGCUUUUGUCUUUUCUCCGUCCAUUCGUUGCUAGACGGUGUACGGACGGCAUCGAGAUGGAUAAUCUUCAGUUCCUCUUUCGACUCGUACUUGCGUCUCCUUCCUAGACAGCCCCCACUGAACUUGCUGGUCUUCUUUUCAACCGAUUCACCGCGCAGGCGCACCAAAGACCGACGCUUCUCUCUCUCUCUCUCUCUCUCUCUCUCUCUCUCGCUCUCUCUUUUUCUCUUCUUAUUCUUCUUCUCGUCUGCGGCAAAAAACUUUCCGCCCACGUAAGUAAAGAAAGAGAGAGGAAGACGAUUGUGAUCACGAAAAUCAAGAUUCUCUUCCGCGUGGCGAGUGGACGACUCGUCGAACGUUCAUCGGACUUAUCGGCAAGGGCAAGAAGAGGAAAGGAAGGUUGAGGAUCGAAGGGAGGGUCGUUUAUGAGUCUUAAGACGAAUCGAACACGUGAAAGCACACAUCCUUGUUGUGUGGUCCAGCACGCGUUGUGUCGUAAUAAUGAUGAUGAUAAAAAGAAUAAAAAAAAUAAUAA